GGAUUAGAUACCCUGGUAGUCCACGCCGUAAACGAUGUCGACUUGGAGGUUGUGCCCUUGAGGCGUGGCUUCCGGAGCUAACGCGUUAAGUCGACCGCCUGGGGAGUACGGCCGCAAGGUUAAAACUCAAAUGAAUUGACGGGGGCCCGCACAAGCGGUGGAGCAUGUGGUUUAAUUCGAUGCAACGCGAAGAACCUUACCUGGUCUUGACAUCCACAGAACUUUCCAGAGAUGGAUUGGUGCCUUCGGGAACUGUGAGACAGGUGCUGCAUGGCUGUCGUCAGCUCGUGCCG
Molecule: ribosomal RNA, 293 nt
Filed under: uncultured bacterium
Lineage: Bacteria
Description: partial 16S ribosomal RNA
Rfam family: Bacterial small subunit ribosomal RNA
Source: RNAcentral